Molecule: ribosomal RNA, 492 nt
Filed under: uncultured bacterium
Lineage: Bacteria
Description: partial 16S ribosomal RNA
Rfam family: Bacterial small subunit ribosomal RNA
Source: RNAcentral
AGUGAACGCUGGCGGUAGGCCUAACACAUGCAAGUCGAACGGCAGCACAGUAAGAGCUUGCUCUUACGGGUGGCGAGUGGCGGACGGGUGAGGAAUACAUCGGAAUCUACUUUUUCGUGGGGGAUAACGUAGGGAAACUUACGCUAAUACCGCAUACGACCUACGGGUGAAAGCAGGGGAUAUUCGGACCUUGCGCGAUUGAAUGAGCCGAUGUCGGAUUAGCUAGUUGGCGGGGUAAAGGCCCACCAUGGCGACGAUCCGUAGCUGGUCUGAGAGGAUGAUCAGCCACACUGGAACUGAGACACGGUCCAGACUCCUACGGGAGGCAGCAGUGGGGAAUAUUGGACAAUGGGCGCAAGCCUGAUCCAGCCAUACCGCGUGAGUGAAGAAGGCCUUCGGGUUGUAAAGCCCUUUUGUUGGGAAAGAAAAGCAGCAGGUUAAUCCCCCGCUGUUCUGACGGUACCCAAAGAAUAAGCACCGGCUAACUUCGUG